CCUACGUGUGGCAGCAGUAGGGAAUUUUGCGCAAUGGGCGAAAGCCUGACGCAGCAACACCGCGUGAAUGAUAAGCCCGUCGGGGUGUAAAGAUCUGUCAAUAGGGACGAAUUUUGACUGUACCUAUAAAGGAAGCACCGGCAAACUCCGUGCCAGCAGCCGAGGUAUUACGGGGGAUGCGACCGUUAGCGGGAUCUAUUGGGGUUAAAGGGUGCGCAGGGGGAAGAUCAAUACAGCGGUAAAAUGUAGAGGCUCACCCUCUUCGAGCCGUUGAAACUGGUUUUCUUGAGUGAGCGAGAAGUAUGCGGAAUGCGUGGUGUAGCGGUGAAAUGCAUAGAUAUCUCGCAGAACUCCGAUUGCGAAGGCAGCAUACCGGCGCUCAACUGACGCUCAUGCACGAAAGUGUGGGUAUCGAACAGGAUUAGAUACCCUAGUAGUC
RNAcentral lists this ribosomal RNA (439 nucleotides) under uncultured bacterium. RNAcentral's name for it is "partial 16S ribosomal RNA". It matches the Rfam family "Bacterial small subunit ribosomal RNA", at positions 338 to 795 of the family's 1533-position model. The record is from RNAcentral.